UACAGAGGUCCCAAGCGUUGUUCGGAUUCACUGGGCGUAAAGGGUGCGUAGGCGGUCGGGUAAGUCUGAUGUGAAAUCUCACAGCUUAACUGUGAAACUGCAUUGGAUACUAUCUGGCUCGAGGAUCGGAGGGGAGACUGGAAUUCUUGGUGUAGCAGUGAAAUGCGUAGAUAUCAAGAGGAACACCAGUGGCGAAGGCGAGUCUCUGGACGAUUCCUGACACUGAGGCACGAAAGCUAGGGGAGCAAACAGG
Molecule: ribosomal RNA, 253 nt
Filed under: uncultured prokaryote
Description: partial 16S ribosomal RNA
Rfam family: Bacterial small subunit ribosomal RNA
Source: RNAcentral